Molecule: microRNA precursor, 206 nt
Filed under: Oryza barthii
Lineage: Eukaryota; Viridiplantae; Streptophyta; Magnoliopsida; Poales; Poaceae
Description: MIR812 microRNA precursor family
Rfam family: MIR812 microRNA precursor family
Source: Rfam by way of RNAcentral
AAAAGGUGUAGUUUUACAUUAUUCAUAUUCAACGUUUGAACAUCCAUCUUAUUUGAAAAAAAAAUUGAUUAGUAUUUUUAUAUUGUUAUUAGAUGAUAAAACAUAAGUAGUAUUUUAUAUGUAACUAUUUUUUUAUUUCUUUCAUAAAGUUUUCAAAUAAAAUGAUGGUGAAACGUUGGUCAUUUAAAUCCACAACUGCACUUAAA